AUGAUGCAAACACGGCUCAGCCAGCAGGAUGCAAACAUUGUUCAAGGGAGGGAGCACAAGACCCCAGAGCUUGGCUGCUUGGGACACAGUUGUGAGCCUCCAUUCUGUAAAGAAUCUUGGAGAGAAAGACCUUGCAAAGAAAGAGGAACAGCAUCCGCUAUGCCCGAUGCACUCAGCAUGCAGGUUAAGAAGCAUUUCCAAAUGAUCCGUAGAAAUGAUUGCUUUCCUGUGUUGAGGUUUCAGUGAGUGCAGAGAAGAGGAAAGACCCACUAAGCCGGUAACACAUCACUAUGUUUGUCACAUUACACACAGAUAAGAGCAAAGUUUCAUACAUUAAUUCAACUGGCUAUUUGUCACAAUUUUCCACUGCUGUAUGCCACCGUGAAACAAACCAUUGAGGUUACAGUCUUGUUUUGAUCCUAGCUGUCUGAACUCUGUCCUACCUCUUCAUUUCCACGGGCGAGUAAGAACCACACAGUAUUUUCUGCUUUCGUUGGAGGACUCAAAACUGUCAUCGAGAAAAUUAGUAAUGCAGUAAAUAAUACAAUACCAGUUACAAUGGAUUGAAGUCAUUGCAUGGUUCGUUCUGCCAAAGGCUACAUUUAUAUUAUAGGCCGCAUGAUAACUUUUGCCUAAAUCUUCAAACACCUUGAGAAGAUUCCAGAAUAUUUGACUCCUAGGUCAAGGGUGGGUCCCUUGCUCAAAACAGUCUGGAGACUCCUUUUGGGUGCCCCUCAGAGUCCUCGCAGCCUCUGGGUCUGUGGUAUGCUCACCUCCGUCUGAGGCACUGUCUUUGGCUCAUUCGUACUGAGAGCUGGUGAUUAAUCUGGGGAAUGUUGACUCUGAUAAAAACAACAACAUUGAAGUGUGAUUCUAAAGUCAUGCGCCUGCCCAUCUUGUGUAAUGAAUUAAAUCUGAAAACAUUUCCAAAAGAGGAAUUUCCUGAUUCCUUUUCAGUACAUUUUUAAAUUUUUAAACCGUGUGACUGUAUUACUCAGCCAUUUAAAAAAUUAAUGUAAAACCAAAACAAGUACAUUUUUUGGAUUAUAUAUAAAUAGAUCUCUCACACACACACACACACACACACACACACACACGGGACUUUACAUGAUUGCAGGGGAAACCCACUUCAGAAUGCAAAAUGUCUAGUAUGCUUAUUAUUUUUAUUAUUUGAGACAGAGUUUCAUUCUGUUACUCAGGCUGGAGUGCAGUGGCACAAUCUCGGCUCACUGCCACCUUCACCUCCCGGCUUCAAGCGAUUCUCCUGCCUCAGCUUCCUGAGUAGCUGGGAUUACAGGCGUGUAUCACCACGCCUGGCUAAUUUCUGUAUUUUUGGCAGAGACGGUGUUUCACUAUGUUGGCCAGGUUGGUCUUGAACUCCUGACCUCAGGUGAUCCACCAGCCUCGACCUCCCAAAGUGCUGGGAUUACAGGUGUGAGCCACCACGCCUGGCCCUUGUUAUUAUUUUUGACAACACUCUGUGACUUCAUUGUCCCUGGCCUGGCAUCCCAUUCAGCACAUGCCCAUCCCUGCUGGUGAACAUUAACUCUCACUGCACGGAAAUCGGACUGAGUCCCCACGCUGUCCUGAGCACUUUGCGCCACAGUGCGAGUCAGCGAUCACGCUCCGUUCCUGACAGUUGUGUCUCCACCGUCACAGGUGUUCGGGCCCUCAUAGCGAGUCCAGCGGUUUCUUCCUGCUGCCUCAGCUCGUCUCCCCCACUGACCACAUUCUGUCUGGGCAUGGUGACAGCACGUCCCCCGGGGCCAAUGCGGCCACAGCCUCAUGAGCUGCCCUCAGCGCUCCCGGGGGUUCCUGCUGUGGCAUUCUUCGGUUGCCAUUAUCCGCAUCGUUUCCAGUAGAGCAUUUCCAGUGUUUUCCUUGCUCUUUCCACAGUAUCUCACUCAGCACUGCUGGCCAUUGGAGGCUGCUGUCUGCCUCGCUCAAAGGAGAACCCCAGGGGUGAUUCCACGCCCUGUCGUCACUUCUUAGGGGCGUCAACAAAUGGCCAUCAGGUGACCCUAACUUCAAGGGCCCAGAGUCCCUCCUGUCCAGCAGGAUGUACACAGGCCGCUCUGGUACUGGCAUCCCUGGAUAUCACUCAUUGCCACCUCAAGGGACUGGGUCUUUAUUUUUUUACUUUUGUGAAAAUACAAUGUUAAUACAAUUUGUCACUAUUCUCUAAGGAGCACUUAUUUAUUACGCUGGGAUUUUAUGUUUUACAAAUUUAUUUGUUAUAACGGCGUGCAAUGCCUUAGUUUUAAAACCUUAUUUCCUAGGUCUUUUGAGAGCCGGCUAUAACCUGAGAUUAUUUUCAUAAUGGACUCCUUAUAUAAUGUACUUCUUAAAAGCUAAAUGGUACUUAUCACUUCAUUUUGCAUAUCGAAGGACAUUUUAGCUCAGUAUUAAUAACCCCAUUAUAAUAAAAAUAAUAAUAGUAAGGAUUUAAAAAUCCAUUACAAAUCUCCUUAAACCCAGGUGCACUCAUUAACUCUUAGAUAAAAGAAAUUGAAAUUAAAAAAACCCAGAAGUACUUUAUUUUAUUCUACCUAAUAUAAUGACUUUGAAAGAGUGAGAAGUAGAAGACAAUUCUCUUGACUUCACAUCUCUUGUUGGGGCCAGGCACGGUGGCUUAUGCCUGUAAUCCUAGCACUUUGGGAGGCCGAGGUGGGUGAAUCUCUUGAGGCCAGGAGUUCGAGACCAGCCUGACCAACAUGGUGAAACCUUGUCUCUACAAAAUAAAAAAAGUGGUUGGGUGUGGUGGUGCACACCUGUACUCCCUGAUACUUGGGAGGCUGAGGCACAAGAAUCGCUUGAACUUGGGAGGUUCAAGGCUGCAGUGAGCCAAGAUCAUGCCACUACACUCCAGCCUGGGUGACAGAGCAAGACCCUGUCUCAAAAAAAAAAAAAAAAAAAAAAAAAUGUAGUGCUCAGUUUGCUAGGCUUGCCAGUUAAAAUUGGCUGUUAGAUUGAAAAACAAAAGCAAACAAGCACUCCUACUAUCUUGCUGAGUUAUUUUAUUUUAUUCCAUUUUAUUUUAUUUUGUUUUAUUUUAUUUUUGAGAUGGAGUUUUGCUCUUUUGC
Long non-coding RNA from Macaca mulatta (Rhesus monkey), 3083 nucleotides. NCBI's taxonomy places the organism in Eukaryota, Metazoa, Chordata, Mammalia, Primates, Cercopithecidae. The record is from Ensembl.